This 391-nucleotide unclassified non-coding RNA is filed under the name uncultured Glomus. RNAcentral's name for it is "SSU rRNA". It matches the Rfam family "Eukaryotic small subunit ribosomal RNA", at positions 569 to 959 of the family's 1831-position model. The record is from RNAcentral. Lineage: Eukaryota; Fungi; Glomeromycota; Glomeromycetes; Glomerales; Glomeraceae.
AGCGGCCGCGGUAAUUCCAGCUCCAAUAGCGUAUAUUAAAGUUGUUGCAGUUAAAAAGCUCGUAGUUGAAUUUCGGGAUUGGCGUGUCGGUCGUGCCUUAAGGGGUAUGAACUGGCGUCGUCGAUUUCUCACCUUCUGGAGAAACACGAUGCCCUUAAUUGGGUGUCGUGCGGAACCAGGACCUUUACCUUGAAAAAUUAGAGUGUUUAAAGCAGGCAUUUUUGCUCGAACACAUUAGCAUGGAAUAAUAAAAUAGGACGAUUGGUUCUAUUUUGUUGGUUUCUAGGAUCACCGUAAUGAUUAAUAGGGAUAGUUGGGGGCAUUAGUAUUCAAUUGUCAGAGGUGAAAUUCUUGGAUUUAUUGAAGACUAACUACUGCGAAAGCAUUUGCC